CAAUAGAUAACACAAAGAAUAAGAAGAGCCAAGAGCACUGUUGCAAGUGCACUGCAUAUAACUGCUGCUAGAGCAGUGUCUCGAGGACUGGAAGCAGUUGAUGGGAUCUUCACAAGGUUUACUUUGGUGGUACAGUGGGGUUCAUAGGGAGGAGGAGGAUCACCACAGGGAACACACUCCAUGUCUUGAAAGCCUCCAAGCUUGGUCUUCCUAUAAAACCCCGGUAAACAGUCUCCACAUAGUGCAUUGCUGGUGGCAGAACAGUUGGCCUUCUGAAAGCGGUUAACUAGAGCACAAUCCAGACAAGGCUUGCACUUCUGAAAGCCCCAGUCUUCCUUGAAUCUGUUUGGCCUGCAAGUCAUGCACUGUGCAUCCUCCCCAUAUCCAAAGCCGCAUUCCUUUGAGAGUUCCAUUCCUGGUCCACACUGUUUGCAGAGAAUACAGUUCCCAGCGUGGUCCCUAAAUUCUUGUUCUCUGCAAUCUCCAGUCUCACAAAUUACCCUACUUAGCAAAUAUGCAAGUAAGAUUAUAAGCAUCUUCAAUUUGUCUUCUCCUUGUAAUCCUUUAGGAUCCAUUUCUUACAAUUAAACCUUUACCCCUCUGCCUGCUUGCUCCCAGCCGCAGCGGCGGGACUGCCGGUGAGCCGCAGCCCGCGCCCUCCCUCACGUCCUCUCUCUCCGUCGCCGAGGCAACACCGCGCCG
This 702-nucleotide long non-coding RNA is filed under the name Gallus gallus (chicken). Lineage: Eukaryota; Metazoa; Chordata; Aves; Galliformes; Phasianidae. The record is from RNAcentral.